GCACUGCUGAGGAGCCCCAUACUAGAACGAAACGGCCGUCCAGUGC
Schistosoma curassoni is the source of this 46-nucleotide non-coding RNA. Lineage: Eukaryota; Metazoa; Platyhelminthes; Trematoda; Strigeidida; Schistosomatidae. The record is from Rfam.